This is a ribosomal RNA of Lepisosteus oculatus (spotted gar), 119 nucleotides long. Lineage: Eukaryota; Metazoa; Chordata; Actinopteri; Semionotiformes; Lepisosteidae. The record is from Ensembl.
GCCAACAGCCAUAUCACCCUGCAACUCACAACUGGCAACCCACUGAAACUAAGCAGGUGUGAGCCUGGUCAGUACCUGGAUGGGAGACCUCCUGAGAAAAACUAAGGGUGCUGCUGGAA